GUUGACCUCGAUCAGAAUCCCAGGCCCAGCCCCCCC
Molecule: ribosomal RNA, 36 nt
Filed under: Cladosporium tenuissimum
Lineage: Eukaryota; Fungi; Ascomycota; Dothideomycetes; Cladosporiales; Cladosporiaceae
Description: partial 28S ribosomal RNA
Source: RNAcentral